GCUUCCAUAGCUCAGUUGGUUAGAGCUUCGUACUAAUACUUCAACUGCAAAGUGUUGGUAAUGCGAAGGUCGCAGGUUCAAGCCCUGCUGGGAGCA
Molecule: transfer RNA, 96 nt
Filed under: Neonectria ditissima
Lineage: Eukaryota; Fungi; Ascomycota; Sordariomycetes; Hypocreales; Nectriaceae
Rfam family: tRNA
About the family: Transfer RNA (tRNA) molecules are approximately 80 nucleotides in length. Their secondary structure includes four short double-helical elements and three loops (D, anti-codon, and T loops).
Source: Rfam by way of RNAcentral